CCCUUGUCCUUAGUUGCCACCAUUCAGUUGGGCACUCUAAGGAGACUGCCGGUGUUAAACCGGAGGAAGGUGGGGAUGACGUCAAGUCCUCAUGGCCCUUAUAUCCAGGGCUACACACGUGCUACAAUGGCCGGUACAAAGGGUCGCAAUACCGCAAGGUGGAGCUAAUCCCAAAAAGCCGGUCUCAGUUCGGAUUGGAGUCUGCAACUCGACUCCAUGAAGUCGGAAUCGCUAGUAAUCGCGUAUCAGCAUGACGCGGUGAAUACGUUCCCGGGCCUU
Molecule: ribosomal RNA, 279 nt
Filed under: uncultured Geothermobacter sp.
Lineage: Bacteria; Pseudomonadati; Thermodesulfobacteriota; Desulfuromonadia; Desulfuromonadales; Geothermobacteraceae
Description: partial 16S ribosomal RNA
Rfam family: Bacterial small subunit ribosomal RNA
Source: RNAcentral